GACGAACGCUGGCGGCGUGCUUAACACAUGCAAGUCGAACGGAAAGGCCCUGCUUUUGUGGGGUGCUCGAGUGGCGAACGGGUGAGUAACACGUGAGUAACCUGCCCUUGACUUUGGGAUAACUUCAGGAAACUGGGGCUAAUACCGGAUAGGAGCUCCUGCUGCAUGGUGGGGGUUGGAAAGUUUCGGCGGUUGGGGAUGGACUCGCGGCUUAUCAGCUUGUUGGUGGGGUAGUGGCUUACCAAGGCUUUGACGGGUAGCCGGCCUGAGAGGGUGACCGGACACAUUGGGACUGAGAUACGGGACAGACUCCUACGGGAGACAGCAGUGGGGAAUAUUGCAUAAUGGGCGGAAGCCUGAUGCAGCAACGGCGCGUGCGGGAUGACGGCCUUCGGGUUGGAAACCGCUUUCGCAUGUGACGAAGCGUGAGUGACGGUACUGGGUAAAGAAGCACCGGCUAACUACGUG
This 468-nucleotide ribosomal RNA is filed under the name uncultured bacterium. Its description in RNAcentral is "partial 16S ribosomal RNA". It matches the Rfam family "Bacterial small subunit ribosomal RNA", at positions 28 to 507 of the family's 1533-position model. The record is from RNAcentral.